GAUGAACGCUGGCGGCGUGCCUAAUACAUGCAAGUAGAACGCUGAAGCUUGGUGCUUGCACCGAGCGGAUGAGUUGCGAACGGGUGAGUAACGCGUAGGUAACCUGCCUGGUAGCGGGGGAUAACUAUUGGAAACGAUAGCUAAUACCGCAUGACAACAGUUAUUGCAUGAUAACUGUUUAAAAGGGGCAAUUGCUCCACUACCAGAUGGACCUGCGUUGUAUUAGCUAGUUGGUGAGGUAACGGCUCACCAAGGCGACGAUACAUAGCCGACCUGAGAGGGUGAUCGGCCACACUGGGACUGAGACACGGCCCAGACUCCUACGGGAGGCAGCAGUAGGGAAUCUUCGGCAAUGGACGGAAGUCUGACCGAGCAACGCCGCGUGAGUGAAGAAGGUUUUCGGAUCGUAAAGCUCUGUUGUAAGAGAAGAACGAGUGUGAGAGUGGAAAGUUCACACUGUGACGGUAUCUUACCAGAAAGGGACGGCUAACUACGUGCCAGCAGCCGCGGUAAUACGUAGGUCCCGAGCGUUGUCCGGAUUUAUUGGGCGUAAAGCGAGCGCAGGCGGUUAGAUAAGUCUGAAGUUAAAGGCUGUGGCUUAACCAUAGUACGCUUUGGAAACUGUUUAACUUGAGUGCAAGAGGGGAGAGUGGAAUUCCAUGUGUAGCGGUGAAAUGCGUAGAUAUAUGGAGGAACACCGGUGGCGAAAGCGGCUCUCUGGCUUGUAACUGACGCUGAGGCUCGAAAGCGUGGGGAGCAAACAGG
This 765-nucleotide ribosomal RNA is filed under the name uncultured Streptococcus sp. RNAcentral describes it as "bacterial SSU rRNA". It matches the Rfam family "Bacterial small subunit ribosomal RNA", at positions 28 to 776 of the family's 1533-position model. Lineage: Bacteria; Bacillati; Bacillota; Bacilli; Lactobacillales; Streptococcaceae. The record is from RNAcentral.